Bos taurus (domestic cattle) is the source of this 1666-nucleotide long non-coding RNA. The record is from Ensembl. Lineage: Eukaryota; Metazoa; Chordata; Mammalia; Artiodactyla; Bovidae.
CCGAUUUGGUCUCUAACACAGCAGGCCAGGAAUUUCACCCCUCACCUUGAGAAAGACACAGACAUCUGCUUUCUCAUUUUCCUGGUAUUCUCCUGGAGGUGUCUAAGUAGAGAGCAGGAUAAGCAUAUAAACUGUGUAUCCAGAGAAAGAGACAGACCAGCAGAGAUCUUUAUUUGCACAGAGAGGAUUCGAGCCAGAUAUCUUCAUGCAUACAUUUGGGCUUUAUCCACAAGAACAUGUGCUGAAACAGUGCAUGGAGCCUGCCCACAACCCCAGAACCACAAGGCCAGGCAUGUGCACGCACCUACACCGCGCGCGCGCACACACACACAAACACACACGCUUCCAGUAAGGCACAUCGAAUAUCUCUUUUAUAUAUUGGAGCCUCUGAAAACAAGAAUUUCAGAGUUGAACUUAGCAGUGAACCCAGUCCAUAGAGGACGCUGAGCGAAGAGUGGCUCCCGUGGCCUCCCCAUCACAAAUGUCCCUUUGAAAAAAAGAGCGGAGCGCGCAGCCCGGGGCUUCUGUACGGGGCUAGAGGAUCUGUUUUCCAUUUUCCUUUAGUAUGAUGAAAUGCUCCGUCCUUUCCUCCACACACCAACAUCACAGUUAGAGACCGAAGGGUCAUAUUCCUAUUCAUUCCUCUUGACUUCCUGUCAACCGCAGUCCAGCUCCAUCAUCCGUCCGCGAAGCCCCGGGCGGAGCGAGGUGUGGCUGCGUGGUGGGGGGUGAGCGAGCGCCCGGCCUGAGGAUUUCAGCCCCUGGCUUUCUAGGGCGGGAUCGCUUCACCGCCUCUGAGAUGUAAUUACGCUUCCAGUAGUGCAUAUUCUCCUGGAGUGCUUAAUUUGCUUUUAUUUGUGUCUCAGUGAGAUCCACAUUUUUUUUUCCGGGUGAGGAGGGAGAAGCGACCCCAGGCUUAAAGUUAGUUAACCAACAAGGCUUUACUUUGAGCCUCCUGCCUCAGGCUCUCUCCUCGAGCCUCGGUCCCCACUCCCGAGGCGCCCCACUCUUGGAGUCGGCAGUUUCAGGUGCAGAAGGUCUUGGGGGAACCGAGGGAAAAAGAGUGAGGGAUCGUUCAGAGCCUGCGGACGCUUCUCCAGUGCUUUCAACGCCCUGAGUCCUGAACUUUCGCUGCAGCCUUCCCACUCUCUCUAGUCUCUUGGGGGCCUACAUCUUCGGCCGGUCUUCCUUGAAGGAAGGGGACUUUUCCCUCUCUUUCCACCAGUCGCUAAAUUUUGGCCGCACAGCACCGCUAAUAAAUGGAAUUGUAAAUUGUAAAUUUGCUGGGUUAAUUAAAUCUAUAUCUCACUGCAAUAGGAAUAGUUAAUAUAAACCUGGAAAAGAACAUACUAUUAAUUUUAUUUAUUGCUGGGCCGCCCGUACCCAGAGCCUUUCGCUAUUCUGCCCCUUAUUCCCAAAGGCUGGAGGGACUCGUCUGUCUUUGGGUUCUGGAGCGGGGAAGACGCGUUGGGCUAGACCAUUCCCCGUACCCUAGAGUGAGUCCUAGGAAUGGGGUUGCCAUUUCAGGCCCUUUGUUUCUCCCGGCUGCCCCCCAUAGCCUGGUCCACCUCGCCCGGGGGUUCUCUGCAGGGACUCGGACCCCGCACUUCAGAGGAGGGGAAACCAGGGCCUCUCACCACCCCAACACCUGCCUCUCGGAAAGCGG